Molecule: ribosomal RNA, 253 nt
Filed under: uncultured bacterium
Lineage: Bacteria
Description: partial 16S ribosomal RNA
Rfam family: Bacterial small subunit ribosomal RNA
Source: RNAcentral
UACGAAGGUGUCUAGCGUUGUUCGGAAUCACUGGGCGUAAAGCGCGCGUAGGCGGCUUUUCAAGUCAGAGGUGAAAGCCUGGAGCUUAACUCCAGAAUUGCCUUUGAAACUGUAAAGCUAGAGUAUUGGAGAGGAGUGUGGAAUACCUAAUGUAGCGGUGAAAUGCGUAGAUAUUAGGUGGAACACCAAUGGCGAAGGCAGCACUCUGGACAAUAACUGACGCUGAGGUGCGAAAGCGUGGGGAUCAAACAGG